UACAGUUUGCUUGGACGCCUCCAACCUGUAUCUCGUUUUUUUUGGCCAUAUAUUUGUUAUACUGAACCUGUAUAUCAGCAUAUAAUGCUGUAUACAGCAUGUAUACAGCCCACUUUUUUGGGCUUUUUGAGACCUCCAACCAGUCCUUAACCCCUGUAAAAAUUCGCUUAAGGCUGACUCGAUGGAGAGAGAUUGAGCCUCUAUGGCUCAUCUCGAGAAUGCAAGAGAGAAAAAGUCUCCCACGAACUCGGGAGAGGUUCAUACAACAAAAGAGGGAAGGCAAAAUUAGCAUAUGAAUAAGAUAAAACAAAUGCGACAUAACUCAAUUGAAGCGAAAGCUAUUUAAGAAAUUCGAAACUAAGAUGCAACCCAUCCCAACCAUUAGACCAAAAGAAACAGAUGAAUUUUUAGA
RNAcentral lists this long non-coding RNA (412 nucleotides) under Solanum tuberosum (potato). Its description in RNAcentral is "long non-coding RNA (STUB_LNC006187)". The record is from RNAcentral. Lineage: Eukaryota; Viridiplantae; Streptophyta; Magnoliopsida; Solanales; Solanaceae.